Long non-coding RNA from Equus quagga, 786 nucleotides. RefSeq lists it as uncharacterized. The record is from RefSeq and is a predicted model, not a curated record. The transcript has 4 exons. NCBI's taxonomy places the organism in Eukaryota, Metazoa, Chordata, Mammalia, Perissodactyla, Equidae.
GGAACCCAGUUUGAGAGUCAGGCCAAGGUCAAGGGCCGUUUCACGCCCAGAGAAGGGCUUCCUAGGCCGGCUCCAUCUCCCCAGGGCUACAGGGAUCCAGCCUCAUUCCUGCCCAACCUGCAGCGGAACGAAAAAUCAACUGGCCAGAGGCAGGGACCCCAGGCCGACCUCCCUUCACGGCCCCCUCUCAGCUCACCACCUGCAGGAGCCAGCCUGGCUACCCACCUCUCCUGGCCUGACCUGGGGGCCUCCUGCUCACACGUCCACCCCACGCCGCCCCCAGCUGAAAUCAGAAGCUGCAGCAGGAAGCCGAGGUCCCGGGCAUCCGUCUCCGCCAGGCACUGCAGAUCCCGCGCAGCAGCCACCACGUCUCCCUUCUUGAGCCGGAGCAGGCCCCGCCGGGCUCGGGCAGGCUCUGAUGGCGGAGCGGGGUGUAGGGCUUUUUGCAGGAUUUUGCAAGAAAGACUGACAUUUGGGCACAUGUGCGCUUCAGACAGUCCCACCCAGAACACGGCCUGGCGUCCCGUGGGCACUCACUUAACAUUUAUUGAAUAAACGCAUGAGUUAAAGAGGAGGCCCCAGCGUUUGAGCCUUUUAUGAAAUCCCAAAUCACUCCUGUGUUUCUUCGCCCUGCUGCUGGUGCCACACAGGUGACUCGGAGAGCUAGAGACAUGCACACACCAGGCCCACGUGAAGACCAGGUCACAGGUCCUGUUGCGGUGGAAGGGACCUUAGAAGCCACUGAAUCCAGGGCCUCCUCCCCCAUUUCACAGAAAAGAAUCCAGG